Molecule: ribosomal RNA, 414 nt
Filed under: bacterium enrichment culture clone ALO1_GLFRUDD03GP8WI
Lineage: Bacteria
Description: bacterial SSU rRNA
Rfam family: Bacterial small subunit ribosomal RNA
Source: RNAcentral
GAGUUUGAUCUUGGCUCAGAUUGAACGCUGGCGGCAUGCCUUACACAUGCAAGUCGAACGGCAGCACGGGAGCUUGCUCCUGGUGGCGAGUGGCGAACGGGUGAGUAAUGCAUCGGAACGUAUCCUGGAGUGGGGGAUAACGUAGCGAAAGUUACGCUAAUACCGCAUAUUCUGUGAGCAGGAAAGCGGGGGACCUUCGGGCCUCGCGCUCUUGGAGCGGCCGAUGUCGGAUUAGCUAGUUGGUGAGGUAAAGGCUCACCAAGGCGACGAUCCGUAGCAGGUCUGAGAGGAUGAUCUGCCACACUGGAACUGAGACACGGUCCAGACUCCGUACGGGAGGCAGCAGUGGGAAGUUUUGGACAAGUGGGGGCAACCCUGAUCCAGCCAUGCCGCGUGAGUGAAGAAGGCCUGGUU